This 513-nucleotide ribosomal RNA is filed under the name Vibrio ordalii FF-93. Its description in RNAcentral is "bacterial SSU rRNA". It matches the Rfam family "Bacterial small subunit ribosomal RNA", at positions 1032 to 1533 of the family's 1533-position model. The record is from RNAcentral. RNAcentral also lists the same sequence under 1 other name. Lineage: Bacteria; Pseudomonadati; Pseudomonadota; Gammaproteobacteria; Vibrionales; Vibrionaceae.
AGACAGGUGCUGCAUGGCUGUCGUCAGCUCGUGUUGUGAAAUGUUGGGUUAAGUCCCGCAACGAGCGCAACCCUUAUCCUUGUUUGCCAGCGAGUCAUGUCGGGAACUCCAGGGAGACUGCCGGUGAUAAACCGGAGGAAGGUGGGGACGACGUCAAGUCAUCAUGGCCCUUACGAGUAGGGCUACACACGUGCUACAAUGGCGCAUACAGAGGGCAGCAAGCUAGCGAUAGUGAGCGAAUCCCAAAAAGUGCGUCGUAGUCCGGAUUGGAGUCUGCAACUCGACUCCAUGAAGUCGGAAUCGCUAGUAAUCGUAGAUCAGAAUGCUACGGUGAAUACGUUCCCGGGCCUUGUACACACCGCCCGUCACACCAUGGGAGUGGGCUGCAAAAGAAGUGGGUAGUUUAACCUUUCGGGGAGGACGCUCACCACUUUGUGGUUCAUGACUGGGGUGAAGUCGUAACAAGGUAGCGCUAGGGGAACCUGGCGCUGGAUCACCUCCUUAUACGAAGAU